AUUGAACGCUGGCGGCAUGCCUUACACAUGCAAGUCGAACGGCAGCACGGAGCUUGCUCUGGUGGCGAGUGGCGAACGGGUGAGUAAUAUAUCGGAACGUACCCAAGAGUGGGGGAUAACGUAGCGAAAGUUACGCUAAUACCGCAUACGAUCUAAGGAUGAAAGCAGGGGAUCGCAAGACCUUGUGCUCCUGGAGCGGCCGAUAUCUGAUUAGCUAGUUGGUGAGGUAAAGGCUCACCAAGGCAUCGAUCAGUAGCUGGUCUGAGAGGACGACCAGCCACACUGGAACUGAGACACGGUCCAGACUCCUACGGGAGGCAGCAGUGGGGAAUUUUGGACAAUGGGGGCAACCCUGAUCCAGCAAUGCCGCGUGAGUGAA
Molecule: ribosomal RNA, 379 nt
Filed under: uncultured bacterium
Lineage: Bacteria
Description: bacterial SSU rRNA
Rfam family: Bacterial small subunit ribosomal RNA
Source: RNAcentral